This 253-nucleotide ribosomal RNA is filed under the name uncultured bacterium. Its description in RNAcentral is "partial 16S ribosomal RNA". It matches the Rfam family "Bacterial small subunit ribosomal RNA", at positions 524 to 776 of the family's 1533-position model. The record is from RNAcentral.
UACGAGAGGCCCAAACGUUAUUCGGAAUUACUGUGCGUAAAGCGUGCGUAGGUGGUUUGUUAAGUCUGAUGUGAAAGCCCUGGGCUCAACCUGGGAAUUGCAUUGGAUACUGGCAGGCUAGAGUGCGGUAGAGGAUGGCGGAAUUCCCGGUGUAGCAGUGAAAUGCGUAGAGAUCGGGAGGAACAUCUGUGGCGAAGGCGGCCAUCUGGACCAGCACUGACACUGAGGCACGAAAGCGUGGGGAGCAAACAGG